Molecule: long non-coding RNA, 1089 nt
Organism: Cyprinus carpio (common carp)
Lineage: Eukaryota; Metazoa; Chordata; Actinopteri; Cypriniformes; Cyprinidae
Source: Ensembl
AUGCACACACGCACACACACACACACACAAAACACAACACCACACACACAACACCACAGAUCACAACACCACACACACAAAACACAACACCACACACACAAAACACAACACCACGCACACAACACCACAGAACACAACACCACACACACAAAACACAACACCCCACACACAACACCACAGAUCACACCCCCACACACACACAACACAACCCCACACACACAACACCACAGAUCACAACACCACACACACAAAACACAACACCACACACACAGAACACAACAACACACAGAACACACCACAUACACACAAAACACACCACACACACACACAGAACACAACACCACACACACAACACACAGAACACACCACCACACACACACGCACACACAGAACACAACACCACACACACAACACAGAACACACACACAACACAGAACACAACAACACACAUACACACACACAACACAAAACACAACACACAGAACACCACACACACAGAACACAACAACACACAGAACACACCACACACACAACACAACAUACACACACAAAACACAACACCACACAGAACACAACACCACACACAGAACACAACACCACACACACACAACACCACACCACACACAGAACACAACAACACACACGCAACAAAACACACACAACACCACACACACAACACACAGAACACACACAGACCACAACACACAGAACACAACACCACACACACAACACAGAACACAACACCACACAGAACACACACAACACCACCCACAGAACACAACACCACACAGAACACACCACCACAGAACACAACACCACACCACGCACACAACACACACAACACACAAAAGAGAACACACAGAACACAACACCACACCACGCACACAACACAAAACACAACACCACACACAGAACACAAAAACACACACAACACAAAACACAACACCACACACGCAACAAAACACACAACACCACACACACAACACAACACACAGAACACACACAACACAGAACACAACACCACACACACAACAAAACACACAGAACACAACACCAAGUCAAGUCAUCUUUAUUUAUAUAGCGCUUUAA